UUCACUUCUCACGAUACCUGAAGGGGAACAUCCUUUGGGAGAGCAUCCUAAAAACAUCCCUUUUGAAACAUCGAAUUUUUCUUCUGAAUCAUCCUGUAUGCGUCGCACGUCAAUUUAAUGCAUUUCAAAGUCGGUUCCGUGGAAACAGGUUUAAAGCUCGAGAUAACGUCUAUUCGCAAAGCAGCUUUUGUCUCAACCGUUUAAAAGCAAUAGUUGAAUAUUUGAGUAAUCGCUUUUGCUAUUAUUGAUUUUAAUUGUACACGAAAAAUAGAGAAAUAGUGUAACCAAGUUACAUCUUAUGUUACAGUUAUUAUCAAAAAAAUACACAUAUCGCAAAAGUUAUUUGUAAUUUCACGUAUAAUAUAAAAAGAAAGAGAAUUAGGUAAACAUGUUAUUUGGUAUUUGCACAUUCGGAAGAAAAGUUUAUGUAAUGCAUUUUAUCAAAAGACGAGACAUAUAAAUUUAUUACGUCACAUCCAAUUCUUAUAUAACUUCAAUCAGUAUAACGUCAGAUAUUAUCUAUCAUGCCACGCACAUGUUAGAGCAUCGACAGCGGAACGUAUAUAAAUCUAGAAUCAUUCGCAGCUGGAAACUUUCGUUCGAUAAACGUUAUCAUGAAUAAUAGACGUAGGAAACUUAUCCAAACUGCAUUACCACGGAAUGCUAUUAGACAAAGUUUGAUAGUUACUUCUUCCUGCUAGAUUGCCGAUUAUUGAAGUCAUUAGAAGCACGAAUCUAAACCAGAAAAAUCGUUUAUCGCGGGAAAAAGUACAGAUUUUACAACUACCAACGCUCAAAAAUAUAAUCUUGUUAGAUAUUUGGGUGCGCUGUGCGUGCGUGUAUAUACCAGUAAGAAUAACGUGUUUUGUUACGUAAUAUCUCAUAGUAUCGCGAAACAUCGCUAAGGAGUCAUCACGACCGUUCUCCAACCAGCUUAACGAGCAAAUACACGACAUGGCGGAAACGACCCGCAUCCUUGUCGCAGCCACGGAAAUCUUGACAGAUCCUUUUACGGGUGUGUAUAUCACGUAUCCCAGCGGGAACGUGCAUCCAGCAGCAUUGGUAACGGUAGCAGCACCAACACCAGCAUCAGCCAAGCAGCGAUGCAGCAGUAGCAAGCUGCUGAGACCAGGUCUGUCAGGCGUGCCAUAAAAUACGGCGUCGAUCGUACGUGUUGCCGCACAUGGCGAUACGUGACCAUCGAUUCCGGCUGCGGGGAAUCGAUACGACGAUUCCAACCGUGUCUAACGAUCUCUCUCGGCGCGCAGAGGUAGGACACGACUCGACACGGCACCGAAAUUCGACAAACGGCUCAAUAAUUUCGCGGAUAGUAUCCAUCGCCGUAAUAUCGCCUCAUCACCGUGAUGCACCGCAUUCGGCCGAAUAUCGCAUGAUGUACAACGACAUUCCAAGGACACAUUUUGGACGCACAUGGCGCACUCGAGAGAUAAUUACCAAGGAAGCGCAACGUAAUCGCACAUGGAUCUCAAGACAGAUCCCUUGGGCCUAUAAGCUAAUAAUUGCAAGUAAUCCCGCCGUGCAAUAGAGGGUACUAGUAGAAAUAGUGACGGUAUCUCCGAUACUGACAGUAUCGAUCGCGCACAGAUGAGACGUGUCUUAUCAUCAUUGAAGUAAAAUGAUGUGCUCUCCUAAAAUAGAUGCAGCGUAACUGGGUCAAGACUCGAUUCUCCAGUUAUGCAACAAUGCGAACUCUUAGAUGUUUAAUGAACAUGUCAGACAAUCAGACAAACAUAAUGAUGCAGCGUAAUUAGUAACAUCGAUAAUUUUAGUAUAAUUGCAGCGGAGAUAAAUAUGUGUUUUUACCUCUUUUUAAUCAUAAAUAAUCAGAUGUAUGUUUUACUUUCUUUUUUUUUUUAUAAAAAGCAAAAGUUUACGACAUAUUUGAAACGUGUUUCUAUUAAAACAAAUCUAUACCACUUAAAUAAUUUAGAAUAUUAAUAAUAUGCAUAUAAUAGUAUCUAGUAGAUUUAAUUGUGUUAGACAUUUCAUAAUGACUGAAAAAUUUAUUGGCUAUUGAAAUCGAAGAUUUAUGACGCGGGAGAAAGAAUCUUCCGUUCACAUGAUGCACCUCUUGCGGAACACAUAAAAAUUGGGCUGUAUUGUAACGAUGAUAUAUCAAUAUAUCUGUAUCUGUAUCUGUAUCAAAACCGGAAGACGCCGACGGCGACGUUUUCGCAGAAAGAACUCCACGUUAGGGGUUAUCAUAUCCCUCACUUUUCUUCGCGACGUCUAUAUACGUUUUGUACAUUAUAUGAUAGAAAUUGCCAUCCAUCCCUGUUCGCGUACCAUUUUAUGAUCGAAACUAUCUCGCUCUUAGCCAAUGCUGUCGCACUAACCGCGGCGUUCGUCAUCUCUUUUCGAUAGUGAAUGCAAGCUGCAAGCCAAAGAUUUUUACGUUCGUCGAUAUCACGGACAAUCGCAAGAACUGCGAGACCGCUUUGCGGAAUCUCGCUGACCAGCGGACAUUUCUGAAACGGCUUCUUCCUCGUCGCGUCACCAGCAGGAAAUUCAGAAGAUAAAAUCGGAACGAUUGUAAGAGUUCUGGGACAUCACGAAAUGUCCUGCUUAUAAAAGUUUCCGUCUAACAGAAAAUAAAAGUCGCUCUAACGAUUUUGCAAUAAUAUUUUAAACACAGCGCAAGUAUAAACCGUACGAUAUAUAAACCGCGAAAUGUAUUAAGCAGCCUUUACGUUUUCAUUACCGAAAUUUAUGACGAUUAAACCUAGCUUCGCGAUAGACGUUUGUAGUUUGUUUGUUUAUUUGUGUUAUUUACAUUGUGCACGCGACGCAAAAUGAGUUCGCCAGUUUAAACCGGCGUCAAAAGUCACAAUCGCGCCGCAGACACUUCGUCAACCGUUUUCUGAGACUUCCUUGUCGUUUACCUACACCACCUUUGAAAUACUUCAUUAAGUACUUUGACGCUGCAGUAAUUACCUGACCAUACUGACUAACGUUCAACUUCCUCAUUCCUUCCUACUUCUCACCUACUUUACCCUUUUCUUCGAUCUUCUCCUCUUUCGCGCAUCGCGACCCACUUUCCCGGAAACAUUAGAAUUAGCCGUGAAAUUAGCAUAUUCAGAAGUUUCGCAGUUUAACGGAUGAGUCCCACAACGCGCCGAGUUGAGCAACCUAUUAUCAAGCCAAGCGGACGUCUUAAAGCAGCUCGUACAAGCAACGUAACCACGUCGUCAUCGUGACUCCCGAGCAAAAAUCUCGUCGAGCUAGAUGUUGAUUGGACGAGUCGAGUCGCGUAAAGUUUGCGAGAGCACGAGAGUAGGUAUCCGUUAAACGUUAAUACCACGAAUAUUAUCGAGCUCGUAAUCAGAUGGGACAGACGCAGUGGUAGAGCUCGAGAUUAAGCAGACGCCCCAUGGUGCAGGCAAUCAUACCGCGAGCUGAUUGUCCAAAAAUGGCAAUCGCGCGAGGGAAUGGAGAUACUUCUAUUCUAAUUUCCAUUUUCUUUUUUGCGAAUUAAACUUUCACCCCAAGUUAAUUACGUUAAAUUUUACGUCGGCAAACUUGACUUAUUCUUCAAAGUUUUGAGGGUCACAAAAUUUAAUAUCUUGUUAUAUAAAAGUAUAAAAUUCGAAACUAAGUUAUAAUAAUAAUAAUAAUAAUUUGUAGAGAUUGUAUAGAAAAUCACGCGAUCAUUACUUAAUAAGUUGUUAAACUUAAGUCAUUAAAGUUUAUUGUUACUUUUAGCACACUCAAGUAGAAGAGUAAAUAACCGAAAAGAAAGAAAAAAGAAAAUGUAUGCAGGUUACAAGAAUACUAAUUAUACAAAAUUAAAAACAAAACUGAAAAAGAAGCACGGCAAAUUAUUAAUUAUGUUUAAGUCAAUUUUGUUAAUGUUCUUAUACUAUGACAUGUAUAUUAACAUUUAUAUUUACAUAUAUUUUCGUUAACAGCAAUCGAUUAAUUGCUGUUACUAAAAUCUUAAUAAUCAUCUUCAUGUUCAUAAUAACAAAUUAAAAAAAAAUCGAAAGAUGUAAUAACGAGAGCUAAAAACUCAAUCAAUAUUUUAUUCUUAAGAUAUUAAUUCUCGAUAAAUAAGAAAACUAAACACUUUAUCGUGUUGGUGAGGUUUCUGCGAAAAAGUUCUUUACUAAUAAAUGGUUCCAGAAACUAUUAAAAGAUUCGUAAAAGAAAACUUAAGAAAAAAAUAUUAUUUCGUAAAGAAUAAACAAGCCAUUCCCGUAUAUUCGUACAUCUGCGAUUAUGAUUCUUUGAUAUUUCUUCGUUAUAAUUAAACAUCAACGCCGUCAAAAGUAACUUUUCUCUUCUUCGACAGGAAAAAAGUUAGAGCAUUAUUUACUGAAAGUCUACAUUCUGACGGGAACACUUGUGUGACUUCGAUUGUCAAUCAACCGAGAUGAAACGCACUGAAAUAUUUGUGCUCUGUUCAGAAGUUAAUAAUCAUUUUAUCGGCAAUUCUUCGAAGUAGCAAAACCUUUUUUACAGUGUAUCGAUUGCUUUUUUAUACAUGUUUUCCGUGCUAUGCACAAAAUUAUUGUCAUGAUGUAUAUUAAAAAUUAUUUGCGUGAUUACAGAAAAUGCUAUAAAUUAAAAGGAACUUAUCUCGACACAUUUUAUAUAAAACAUCUGUAUUAAGAGGUCCGCAAUGGUAAUUGUAACUAAAAAGGAUUCCACAUAUAAUUAUAAGGUGAAGAACUAUGAACGGAUUCAUUUUCUUGAGGCUACUGAUCCGAGCUCUUUUGGCGUCAGCUGGACCGACUGACAAUGAAAGACCGAUCGUCAAAAUUGCAAUCCACUCUCGACGCUAUGAUCGAGCGGUGGAAAUCGCUGCUUCUUCGCCAAGUACAAUUAGCGGUAACUGUCGGCGAGUUAAACUUGUAAUUAAACUUCUUCUUUAAUCGUCCUAUGUGAUUGGGGCUGUCAGUCGAAAGCAGAUUUCGCCACUCAUGAGAACUACGCUCCCGCUGCGAUGGGAAUUAGUAUGCACCCGUUCAACUUUGAAUCCGUAUCUCAUUUUGGAAGAUACUAACAUCACACAAUGGAAACUUUACAUAGAGCAGUCAAAGAUAAUGAACUAUGAAAUGGAGAUGUUAAAAGGACAUUUGCUACUUAAUGAUUUCAAUUGUGAAUAAUUGAAAAAGCAUUUUGUAAUAAAAUCAAUUGAAAUUUGUGUUAACUGAGUUAUUUAUAAAAUAAAAUUUCUUUCUUGGCAAAAUCGGAAUUUCGCUUUUAUAACUGAAGUAAUAGAAUCGAUAAUAGAAGAGAUCUUAAUAUAAGGAAAACAAUGAAGUUACCUUUAAACUGUGACCAACUGAAAGCUAAAAUCUUUUCAUUACUACGAUCGGAAAACUUUAAGCCCAAUUUCAAUAGAUAUUAAUUAAGGAUAUUAUUCAUGAAUGCAAUUCACGCGAAGUGUCUAAACUUUCAAUAAGAAACGCUAUCGAAUUAGUUGAAUCUUAAAGAGUUAUUAACUUCGAGAACUAUGCGUGACAUUUUACAAUAACGUCUCACGUUAGUAAGCUAAAUAAAAUAAUACAGCCGAUUGUAAAUUAUUUCUAAUUUAUUUCUAUAACUAUAUUUCUCUAACCUAAAAAAAUUGGUUUAACAUUCGGUGGACAUACACGGAUCAAUCAACGGACGGUGCAUACGCGCAUUAUUUAUUCACCUUGUUUGAAUUCCGAUGUAGACAGAUUUUCCCGUAACGAUACUUCGAAGCAAUCGCUCGCGAUCAUUUAUAAUUGAAAAGCAAUAGCGCGCACUUCUCUAUUGUUGUGAAAGAGUGCACGGAAACGAUCGGAUUAACUUCCAUUUUUACUUUGCUGGUAUCUCGAUUCUCGAUGACAGCACUCUGCCGCUGCUUCAAAUCGUCGCUUGUUUUUUGAAAAAAAAAAAAAAAAAUCCAGAUUUCAUGGAAAUUCGUGUCACUCUUGUUACGCCGCGGAGAUUUCGCGCACAUGCCAACUUCAUAUGAACUAUGAAAGUCCAAAUUUUUCCGACUUCGUCCUUCGUACUUCAAUUUUAUCGCACAUGCCCUGGGCUACCCAAAUUUGUCGCUGCAUUCUUCUUAAUUCAUUUCGCACGAUUUUGUAUGUUUCUAUUACGCUUUUACGUUUCGCGCUUCUAAUACGUUUUACAUUUUUACGUAUCUAUGUCGAGAUGCUGAAUGUAUAUACUGAUUACGGCACAGCUUUUCAGAAACAUUUGCCAAGAAUAGACCAAGCAGAGCCAAUAGGUUCAGGCGUGAAGGAGCAAUUGACGAUAUUGGAUCAAGUAGUGAAUUAGUUUGUCGAGUUCGAGCGCGGUACAUAAUUGAGUCUAACUUCGCGGUGAAGUCUGUCAGGAGGCCGAAACUCUGCCUAAUGGCAGUAUAGACGUCGUAUAGCCUUCAUGGUGAGUAAUGGCUAAAUCUAUUGCGCCUACAUGUCGCUCGACAGUCGCGUCGCGGAGUUGAUUGAGUGUUAUUAAACUUUGGACUUAAAGAAAUAUGAGCUGUUAGAGAACAUAUCGGUAAUUUAAUAUUUAAGCAGCCGUGAAACUCAAGAUUAAACGCACGCUUCAGAAGAAAUUUAUACACUGAGAAAAAUGGUUUUAUUAUAAUAAUAAAACGGUUCUGGUUGAGCGUAUUCUUAUUAAACGAAACAGAAUUUCUGGUUAUCAUAACAAGAUUUUACAGCUUAUAACUACACCGUUUGGUUAACUGUACUAUAAGGAUUUGAUUAAGUUUUUCUUGUUGGAUCUACAAAACUUCUUGUUGAAUCUACAAAAUAAUACAAAACUUCUUGUUAUAUUUACAAAAAUAGCGAUAAUGCUGGCGCCUUCGUUCUCGCAGCGCAAGUCGGUGCAUGCCAAUCUCGCGCAAACCAACGCGGUAUCGAUGCGAUACUAAUAUCACGCGGUACCCAUAAGGUAGCUUUUAUAUUUGUUUCGUGUAUCUUACAAUCGUGUAUUUACAUUAUUCUGUUCAACGGCAUGGCGGACGAAAAAAUGUCUUCUCUUCUGCGCGAAUGGAAUUUCGACAGCUAUAUAGAGAUUUUUAGAGGUUAGUAAAAUAUAUGUAAAAUAUAUGCAGUGUACUUUAAACCAAGAUAUAUUGUUAUUAUUUUAAAAACUCUAUCCAAACUCGUUUUUUAACCAAAAAAUUGUGUUAACCUAAUAAAACAAUAUAAUAAGAUUAACAAGAAAUUUUUGUAGAGUUUUGUAAACCUAACAAAACGAUGUAGUAAGAUUAACAAGAAAUUCUGGUAGAUUCAAACAAAAUGGAAUUAACCAGAAUCCUCUGGUAAUUCCAACUACAAAAUUUGUAUCGUUCAUUUUCGAACAAACGGACAGGUUGAAUCAACCAAAAUUUCUCAUAAAACAACAAAACUUUUUUUCCAGUGUACAACAUGGAUGUAAAAAUUAAUAGAUUAACGGAGAAAUUACUUGGAUGUAUUUUUCUUAACUUCUUAAAAAUAAAUAUUUCUUGAAACGUUAAUAACUUAAAAAGAGUAAAAUAUAGAGUUAACAUAAAGAACUGUAAUAUAUUAAACUUUAUUAGUAAAAAAGAGCGAAAUAUUUAGCAAUAAUUUUACUUAAGAUUUUUUGCUUAUAACGAAACUGCGCGCGUAUUGCAAAUUAUGUACACGAUUGCCAUUAACGUUACAAGCACUUAUUCCCCAUAUUUUACUGCUAUCCAGUAUCCACGUGGAAAAGCAGCCCCGCACCUUCUCGGAGAUAAAUUUUCAACCGCGCGAGGGAACGCCGUGUCAUAGUAUAAAACGACGCCGGUUCGAACGGCGUUAUCCUUUCAAAAACUACGACGUCCUCGUUACCUUCCCAUCAGUCUGAUCGUAAAAUGAGAUCCGCUUCGGUACCAUUUUUCCUGAGAACGCCGUCAUUCGACUGCCCAUUGUGCCAAGACUGCGGGCACGAUCGAGAAUCUCCCAAACGUCAUCUCGAAUCCCGAAACGCGCGACAGCCCUACGAGCGCGGCGGCCGAGACCUGAGUUUUCUCACGUACGUGACGACAUUCUGGGACAUUUCGUGGUAAUUUCAUUGGCCGAGGUACGAGGGUCGGGUGGCUGUUGCCGAGUUCGCGAGCGCAUCGUCUCCUUUAAUAUUUUCUGCUUUUUGUGCAGACAGUUAUUUGACUCUCCGUCCCUCGUCUCUUCUUUUUUUUUUUUUUACUAGCUAUACAGCUCAUUACAUUGUCGGGACGCGUAGCCGCUAGCGAGCAAACUCUUUCACAACUUCACAGCUAAUUCUUUCGCGCGAUAUGUGAAUACAUGUGAAAUUCGACGAAAUUAAAGAGGAAAUUUGCGUAGAAAAUUACACGUAUAAAUUAUAUAUACAACUACAUCCUCAAUUUAUAUUUAAACAAAACAACCGUACAAAUAAAAUAAAUGUAUCAAAUAUUAAAAUUACGGUUUGUGUAAAUAAGUCUACUGUAUUAAAAAAAACCGUAAUUUUUACAUUUAUAUACUAUACGUGAUGUGUAGGUUAUACGUACAUACUGUAUGUAUUAUAUGGUAUAAAAUAUUGAUCGAGAGUGGAACCAGUCUACCUGCUCUUAUACUGCUUUUCCAAGCUGUAGUCGCGGCGGCUUCCACGAAAUUCGAAAGUCGAUAUAUCGAAGUAGUAACAAGCGACUCCCUCGUGACAUAGACCGGUGCCUCCACGGACAUCUUCCCACGUCCGCUCUCCCUUUCUCCUCUUCCCUCCCAAUUUCCGUGGUCCCGUGGACCUCGCUAGGGAUAUCUUCCAGCAAUAAAAGUGCGACGGACUAACUUGUGUGUUCGUCUUAAAAGUACGGUCGCACCGUCGGAGGAUUUUAUGGGGCGGUGAGGGUCAGCGGGAUGGGUGACGAGGGUUAGUACUUUCGUCGGGGGCGGUGCCCCUUUAAACACGACGGGAAAUCUUGUUUCGCGCAAUGCCACGAAGAUUUGCGGCUACGAAAGACGGUAAGGGAGAAAGAGAGGAAAAGGGGGGGAGAGAGAGAGAGAGGGAGAGAGAGAGAGAGAGAGAGAGAGAGAGAGAGAGAGAGAGAGAGAGGGGGGGGAAGGACUGUGCUCCGGAAAAUUAUGGUGACCGCGGGAAACGAACACGCGCGAUUUAUGUUGAACAUUCGCCGCGCCGCGCGUCUCUGUUGCCCGCUGAUUACUCGCGGAAGGAACGAGACAGAAAGAGACUCGGCGAAUUGGAAGAGAAAUUAUAAUGUGGAUACACGCUUUCUAUGCAACCUUGUUACACAGAAUGUUCCGUCGAAUGAGAAACUCGUCAGGAGCAAUGUUGCAUUAUAUUCCCACGAGUAGAAUACAGCAGAAACAAAGUUUAUAGUUUCACUUUUUAUUCGUAUUAUAUAUUUCUGUUCACACCACGAUUCGUAAAUUAAUUUAAACAGAAUGUUUACUCAAAUUUUGUAAAAGUAUUUCCUAAGCAUUCCUGAAUUAUAUUCAAAAUUCUAGGUAAAAUUAAAAAAUGUGUUAAUGUAGCUUUCAAUAAAUUUAUUUUAUCACAUCUUUUAGUGUUUUCCUUAAUCACAUACAAUCAGAAAGGAAAGCUACUUUAAAUAUUAAAUUUAUAGAAAAA
This is a long non-coding RNA of Monomorium pharaonis (pharaoh ant), 9564 nucleotides long. RefSeq lists it as uncharacterized. The transcript is spliced from 2 exons. The record is from RefSeq and is a predicted model, not a curated record. NCBI's taxonomy places the organism in Eukaryota, Metazoa, Arthropoda, Insecta, Hymenoptera, Formicidae.